RNAcentral lists this long non-coding RNA (682 nucleotides) under Sus scrofa (pig). RNAcentral describes it as "lncRNA (ENSSSCG00015043524.1, ENSSSCG00060073662.1)". The record is from RNAcentral. Lineage: Eukaryota; Metazoa; Chordata; Mammalia; Artiodactyla; Suidae.
GAAGACGUUUCUGACACAAAACCCCAGGGGAAUCCACGGAGGAGCUGGGCUGUCAUUACUUAUUAACGGUGGGCCUGAUCCCCAGCCAGGCUGGCCCAGGGAAAUAGCCUGUAGGGAGGCCGGCCUCGCUGCUACCAGGUGGAUUAACACUUUCAGGGCGGGAGGGAGCUGUUUGGGGGGGGUCAAUUGUCACAUUGUUGCAUGUAAGAGGGGCCAUUCUUUACACAUUAGACACAGGCGCCUUCUUCCUCGGCGUUCCCUCCCCCUCGGCGUCUGCAUUCUUCUCUUCCCUUCUCCUCCUGCCCGCUCUGGUUUUAAGCCAGCAAACCCACAGGAUGUGGGAGACUGCGCUCGCUCACGGGGAAGAGGAAGAUCUGAGAAAGCACACGGCCCGGAACCUGGGGAUGAUGUCUUCGGAGAGGGCCCGAGGAGGCGGGGAGAGGGAGAGGCAGCGGAGGGGCAGCGGGAGCCGGUACAUCCCGCUUGCAGACCGGGAAAGGUUGGAUUCACAAACUGGAGCCUGUUGUCUUGGGGUUGGGGGAAGUUAAAAAAAAAACCUCAGCUCUCCGAAGUGUCCGCAGCAAGGAGGCCUCUGGUGCUGCUUUGGAGCCGCAGUGCAUGGGCACCUCGAACUGCACCGCUACGUGUCCCCACGUUUCCAGCUCAGAGGAAGCUUGGUUAG